Molecule: ribosomal RNA, 476 nt
Filed under: uncultured bacterium
Lineage: Bacteria
Description: bacterial SSU rRNA
Rfam family: Bacterial small subunit ribosomal RNA
Source: RNAcentral
UGAACGCUAGCGGCAGGCUUAACACAUGCAAGUCGAGGGGUAUGCCGAUUUAUCGGCAGAGACCGGCGCACGGGUGCGUAACGCGUAUGCAAUCUACCUUUCACAGAGGGAUAGCCCAGAGAAAUUUGGAUUAAUACCUCAUAGUAUAGCAAUUUCGCAUGAAACCACUAUUAAAGUUCCAACGGUGAAAGAUGAGCAUGCGUCCCAUUAGCUAGAUGGUAAGGUAACGGCUUACCAUGGCUACGAUGGGUAGGGGUCCUGAGAGGGAGAUCCCCCACACUGGUACUGAGACACGGACCAGACUCCUACGGGAGGCAGCAGUGAGGAAUAUUGGACAAUGGGCGCAAGCCUGAUCCAGCCAUGCCGCGUGCAGGAUGACGGUCCUAUGGAUUGUAAACUGCUUUUGUACAGGAAGAAACACUACUUCGUGAAGUAGCUUGACGGUACUGUAAGAAUAAGGAUCGGCUAACUCCGUG